Raphanus sativus (radish) is the source of this 1481-nucleotide long non-coding RNA. RefSeq lists it as uncharacterized. The record is from RefSeq and is a predicted model, not a curated record. The transcript has 4 exons. Lineage: Eukaryota; Viridiplantae; Streptophyta; Magnoliopsida; Brassicales; Brassicaceae.
ACGUAAUUCACCGGUUCCAACAUGACUAAACCUAAUUUCUUCUAAAACUUAGACCUGAGCUUCCUGACUCUUGCACUUCAUCUUCACCGGAUUCUCUCCGUUUCUACUCGAUCCUUUUGAUCAAUCAAUGACGCUCUUUAAUCUCUUCUUUAUUGUUUUGCUGCUAUAUCUUCGUCUCUGCUUCUCCACUCCACAAAGUAGUCAAUCAAAACUCAACGAAUCAAUGGCGAACAACAAUGGGAAAAUCAGUUUGCUACAGCUCCAGCUAAUGAGAUGUGGGAAGACAAAGCUGGAGUAGGCAAUAGAGUUGUUUGAGCAUGAUGUGUCCAUGGCUCCAUCAGAUGCUGUCUGUCAGGACCUUAUACCUUCAGUAUGACAAGCUAGAAGAGGGUUAUAGUCUGGCCAAACAAGCCGAAAAAGCCACCAAAAAGGUUCCAGAAUUCUAGAGUGUAGAGAUGUGUGAGAUAUAUAUUCCCCGUUCAGCACAUAUUCUUGGUGAUCGUGCAGUCUACAAGUAUGUCUCUCACUAUGCUGAUCCAAGGUACGACCCAGAAUUCAUUAAGGGAUGGUGCUGCCAUGUUUCUGUGCAAUAGUUAUAUGUUUCUGUGCAAUAGUUAUAUGUCAUUAAGAUAUUGAAGUCUAGAUGAGCAUUUAGUUAUGUGAAACUGUGAAUAUUCAACUCUGAUCUAAUUGAAUAUGCCUUCUUUAAAAUUUAUUAUAAAAUUUAGAUUGGCAUAUAUAUGUUUGGGGUUGGUUAAUAUAUGAGAGGAAGAAGUUGGUUUGGAAGUUUCUGUUACACCAUGUGGCACAGGUCUUACGUGCAACGUGGGAAAGAAGACACAUAGAGAAAUGCUUCGGAUCAAGAGAAGCGUCUCCGCAGGUUACAGUCAGACUCAUUUCAUUCUGCUAGAGAUAACGAUGCAAAAAGGACGAGACAGUAGAUGUGGAGGAGACAAAAUACUAUCUGAAUAAAGCAGGUUAGCCAGAAGAUGAAAUGGGAGCUUUGAAGAGGCAGCUCAUGUCCCCAAUGUCUUACCAUAGUUGCAUCAAAAGAUGGGGCAAGAAAACUGGGGUUUAUGAGCCAGUGACAGGGAAUGUGGAAGGUACUGAGCUUCCUGAAUAGUGUGAUGAUGAAUCUGUUGGAGAAGACAAAGUAUAGAUCACUCAUAAAGAAGUCCAUGAUGCUGUGUUUGGAGGACCUGCAAGAAAGAGAGAGGAAGACUGUAAAGAAGCUAAAGAAGGCGUUGAAAAUGGUAGCCAAGGGUGCGCCAGAGAGGACAAAGAGACACAAACUAGCUCAGUGAGUAAAUCAUGUUGACAAAUUACUUGUGAUACAGUUUGGAAUUGUAAUAUGCAGAACAUGAUCGUGGAAAAUUAUGUACUUCUAUUUUGUCUCAAUUCCAGUGAAAAAUUAUGUACUUUGUUUUGUCUUAAUUCCACCAUAUUAGUUUAUUGCAGAGUUAUUUGUACUCUUUCCAUUA